Non-coding RNA from Schistosoma curassoni, 45 nucleotides. NCBI's taxonomy places the organism in Eukaryota, Metazoa, Platyhelminthes, Trematoda, Strigeidida, Schistosomatidae. The record is from Rfam.
AUCCAGCUGAUGAGUUUCAAAUAAAAUGAAAUAUGCGUCCUGGAU